Long non-coding RNA from Cyprinus carpio carpio, 493 nucleotides. The record is from Ensembl. Lineage: Eukaryota; Metazoa; Chordata; Actinopteri; Cypriniformes; Cyprinidae.
AAAACUCUAAUUCUGUGUAGUGUGUGAGGAGUUGAUCAAGAGCUAAUAGACUGUGUGUAGAAAGAGUGGAAAGUCUAAUACGCUCAAAGUGAUUGUUUUAUCCAGCAAUGGUUAAAAUUGCAAGGGAUGUUGAAUGUUCUCAGUUUCAAGAGAAACUGGAGAACUGGUUUCCAAAUUUUCAUGCCCUUUUAGUAAAACCAUCAGCUAAAGGGAAUGAUGAGUUCAGCAAGAAGUGUCAGAUCUGGUUUCCAAACCUGCAAGCCAACACUAAGCCAAGUACAGAAGAGAAGGCUGAGUUUGGAAAACAACUCCAGACAUGGUUUCAUGACCUUCAAGUAGCUGACUCUAAACCACCAGAGGAAGAGAAGUUUCAGUUCGUGACAAAGCUCCAGGUCUGGUUUCCUGAAUUCCAAAGUAUGAACCUAAUCCAGGGCCACAAUAAAUAGUUUUCUCUUAAAAGGGUGGUUGCCUGUGUUUUUUUUUUUUUUCUUUU